RNAcentral lists this ribosomal RNA (497 nucleotides) under uncultured bacterium. Its description in RNAcentral is "partial 16S ribosomal RNA". It matches the Rfam family "Bacterial small subunit ribosomal RNA", at positions 28 to 507 of the family's 1533-position model. The record is from RNAcentral.
GAUGAACGCUGGCGGCGUGCCUAAUACAUGCAAGUCGAGCGAACAGACGAGGCGCUUGCUCGUCAGACGUUAGCGGCGGACGGACAAGUAACACGUGGAUAACCUCCCUAUAAGACUGGGCUAACAUCGGGAAACCAGAGCUAAUACCGGAGAAUAUCUUGAACCGCCUGGUUCAAUAGUGAAAGACGGGUUUGCUGUCACUUAUCGAUGGAUCCGCGCCGCAUUAGCUAGUUGGUAAGGUAACGGCUUACCAAGGCGACGAGGCGUAGCCGACCGGAGAGGGUGAUCGGCCGCCCUGUAGCGAGGCCGCCCGCCCGGCUCCUACGGGAGGCAGCAGUCGGGCAUCUUCCGCAGUGGGCGGAAGCCUGACGGAGCAACGCCGCGUGAGUGAUACGGGGCGUCGGAGCGUGAAGCUCUGUUACUAGGGAGUAACAAAUGUGUAAGUGACUGUGCGCGUCUUGACGGUACCUGAACAGAAAGCCACGGCUAACUACGUG